AUUGAACGCUGGCGGCAGGCUUAACACAUGCAAGUCGAACGGUAACAGGUCUUCGGGUGCUGACGAGUGGCGAACGGGGGAGUAAUGCAGCGUAACGUACACAGAGGUUGGGGAUAACGCAGCGAAAGCUGUGCUAAUACCGCAUGUGAUCUGAGGGUGAAAGCGUGGGACCGAGCGGCAAUGUUUGACCUCGCGCCUUUGGAGGGGGCGAUGUCGGAUGAGUUGGUUGGUGGGGGAAAGGCCUACCAAGGCGACGAUGCGUAGCUGGUCUGAGAGGACGACCAGCUCCCCUAGAACUGAGCCGCGGCCCAGACUACUCUGGUAGGCAGCAGUGGGGAAUUUUGGACAAGGGGAGGAAGCCUGAUCCAGAAAUGCCGAGUGGGGGAAGAAGUCCUUCGGGUUUUAAUUCUAUUUUGGUAUGAACGAAACGGUGUCCGCUAAUACCGGGCGCUAAUGAAGGUACCUGAAGAAUAAGCACCGGCUAACUCCGUG
RNAcentral lists this ribosomal RNA (492 nucleotides) under uncultured bacterium. RNAcentral's name for it is "partial 16S ribosomal RNA". It matches the Rfam family "Bacterial small subunit ribosomal RNA", at positions 30 to 507 of the family's 1533-position model. The record is from RNAcentral.